Long non-coding RNA from Neofelis nebulosa (Clouded leopard), 1269 nucleotides. RefSeq lists it as uncharacterized. NCBI's taxonomy places the organism in Eukaryota, Metazoa, Chordata, Mammalia, Carnivora, Felidae. The record is from RefSeq and is a predicted model, not a curated record. The transcript has 5 exons.
CAUGUGGCACUCAUCUACCUCACAGUGGCUGCAGUUUAGGUAAUGCUUAAUAUUCACUUCCCCAUGGCCCUCCAUCACUGGUGACAAGAAGGGAGGAUCAGCCUCAGGUGGAGGCAGCAAAGACCACGCUGCACCCCGUUCCCGGCCUCUGUGUUUUAUCUCCAGCUGGUCGGUGCUGGUUCUCUGGUCCCUGUCCCUAUGUCCCACUGAUGCCACUGAAGCACCACUGUGUGUAGGGAAGUCCCUGAUGCAUCUGAUGGAGCUCAGAGGACACGUGGCUGUGUUUUUGUAGGACGAUGGGAAGGUCCAAGUGCAUGACCCUCAGGUUGGCUGGCACAGGAAUGUCCUCCGGUGGCACCCUCCAGCAAAGAUUUUCCAGACCAGAGCAAGGAAGUGUUAUCAUUCCAGCCACCUCCACCACCUGCGGGAGACACGGAGAAAACCCCAAGUGAGGAUGCUGGCCAGGAACUCUGGAUUAGGCCAGACAAACCAAUGGGCUUUAUAGUUUCCUGGGAAAGAACUUCUCCAUUCUGAGCCUCAGUUUCCUCACCUGUGACUUGGGGAUAAUAAGACUUUCCUCAUUGGGUUGAUGUUUGGACCAAAGAAGACAACGAGUGUGCAAAAUGCUUCAGAAACCACGACGUGUAGGGAUCGUUGGGCAUGAGGUGAACACGUGUGUGCACAGGGCCUCACGCUCUGAAGCUCAGGAAAGAUGGUGGUAGCAAGGACCUGGAGAAACAGCAGUGCUUGAGUCUGCAGAACCAUGAGGGUUAACUGGCCGGGAAGGGCGGUCUGGAAGAAUGAGUGGCAGAGCUUUUAAGCAAAUGUGUGGAAAAGAAAACAAUCGGCAUAAAGAGAAAAAAAACCAAAUGAACCACAGCAGUGUUUUAAAAAAUGGACUGAGUAUGAAACAGUUUGGUUAUUUGGAGAAAAAAAAAACCCACCAACUCUAUGAGCUCAUUGAUUCUUCUGUAAAAUGGGAAUAAUAGCACAACGGGAAAGCCCUGCAGGUGAUGCUGAGAAGCACACGUACAACAGAUGUGGAAGUGCUUGGAGAGUUCUUAACUGCCGCUGUGAACAUCGCUGGAUGGUUUUCACCAAGCACCCAAGCCCUACUCCCACUCUCCCUUCUCUUCUAGCCGUUUCUCACUUGUAGGGAAAGUUUGAAUACUUGUUUUCAUUAAUCUCAAAUCUUAUAUGCCUUCUGAGAUCCUUGGUCUGAUUGUGGAGAAAAGAAAAUACAAAAAUGAACUGCAUUUUCUCUUCAGA